UUUUUGCAUGGACUCAAGUGAAGUUUGACUUUUCCCUAAAAGCUUCCCUCAAUUCUCCACCCCAUUCUCUCCUUCUUUUUGCCUUCUCCUGCCACCUGGCGUGCCCAAAUCAUCCACAGGAAGGGGGAUUUGGUGGUAGGCUGCUUUCAAGAUGGUUCUCCGUGAUGCCUGCCUUUGGUAUUCAUCCUAUGUGUCUUCCCAGUUCCUGAGUGAGGGUCGUGCCUCGUGAACUGCGUCUCACAAAGAAAAAAUGGUGGAUGUGAUGGGAGGCCACUGCUAUAAGAUUAUGGAUGUUCAAAGUUCAUCUCACUUAAUCUUUGUUGUACUCUACUCCCAUUCUUCUCCCCACACUCCCCUUCUAUCUGUCUCCCUCUCUGAUUUUCUUCAUUUGCUCAUUCUGAGGGAAACAGCGAUCAUACUGCCAUCUGCCUCUCCAGAAGUCAUCACAACCAGGAAAGGAAGAGGGUGUCCCAGGAGCAUGUGUGUGAACUUUGGGAGGCCUCUUACUCUGGCCAAGUCUGCACAUGAGAGCCCCUUUUGCUGGCUGACCCCUUGGACCGAACUUUGUGGCCAGAAACCCCAGCUAUGCCGCUCCCAGAUUCCAGACCCACAACAAGGGUCAGUAUCCAUUAUCCAACUCUUCUGUGCCCUUACCUGCUGGCCUUCCUAGCCUCAGGUACAUUUAUCAUCCCUGUCUGUCUCCCCAGAUCUGGAAUUCCACCUUUAUAAGAUCUGUUUCACAUGCCCAGAGCAGAAUUUUAAAAAAUAAAAGUCAGUCAUGUCAUUCCUUGUUGAAACUGUCCGGUGCUUUUUUUUUAAAAUUGCAAUUAAAUGAAAAUUCAGACCCUUUUCCACACAUACAUGACUCUGUAGGACCCAACCUAUGCUCCUCUCUGGCUCCCUGUCUGCCCUCUCUGUCUCUAUGGCCUCACCAAGCUUAUGUUGCAUGUAUCUCUCCUUUUCUGAAACAUGCUGAGCUUCUCACCUCAGGGCCUUUGCACUUCCUGUGCUCUAGGCUGGUAGGAUUAGUCCCCAGAGCUUUACUCAAAUGCAUCUUUCUAGCCCUCAGCACCCGCUGCACAUACUCCCUAUUCAUCCCUCCUCUUCUAGUCUCUUCAUUAUUCCCACUAUGCUCCAAAAUUACUCUGUUCAUUUAUUUUAUUUUGCUUUGCUUUUAUCAUAGUAUUUUUGAACCCAAGGCCUUCACACUGAACCGCUUCCCCAGCCCUUGUUUUAGAAUUUUUUAUUUGAAGAUAGAAUCUCACUGAGUCAUUAAAUUGCCAAAGGUAAGUUUAAACUUGAGAUCUUCCUGCCUCAGCUUCCCAGAAUCUGGGAUUACAGGGCACACCCCAUGGCUGGCUUACUUCUUGCUUUUUAUUGUUGUCUUUCCCUGGUAGAAUUCUACUCCCCUGUGCAACUGUCUGCAAUAAUGGAAACAUUCUCUGUGCUGCAUGAUAUAGACAGCACUAGCUCCUGGGCAGUUGAGCACUUGAAGCGUGGCUGGUGAAGGCAAGGAACUGCAUGUUUAAAUUCAAUUCAAUUUUAUAUUAUUGUUUAGUUAGUUUUAAAUAAAAUUUCAUUUAAAUAUC
This is an RNA transcript of Cavia porcellus (domestic guinea pig), 1589 nucleotides long. RefSeq lists it as uncharacterized. NCBI's taxonomy places the organism in Eukaryota, Metazoa, Chordata, Mammalia, Rodentia, Caviidae. The record is from RefSeq and is a predicted model, not a curated record. The transcript is spliced from 3 exons.